CGUCACCCUACGGAAAAUGUAUAUAUAAGCCACAUCCAGCGAUUAUGAGACAUAGACCAGUUCCGACCUGCAAGAAAGAGGCACGAGCUAACUCAACAUGAAGGUGCUGGCGAUCCUGUUUGCUCUGUGUACAUUGGCAGCCCUGACAUUGGCUGACCCCCAGUGUCCUGCCCACGACGGAGCCACGCCCAAAUACUUCCCUGACGAGUCGGACCCGAACGGCUUCUGGGAGUGCAGCAAUGGCGUAGCCAUUCACGAGAACUGUGCUCCUGGACUCGUUUGGAACAGCAACAUCAACGCCUGUGACUGGCCUUAGGGGAAUAACUGCAACACCUGAACUGUCUGCUUGCAUGUUCUAUUUGCUGAAUACGUCGUGUAAGUUUGUGCAACAUGUCAAACGAAGACACUUCAAGGCGAACCUGAAUGUUUACAGACACUAAUGUUACAUAAACCAACAGCAA
This is a long non-coding RNA of Schistocerca cancellata (South American locust), 461 nucleotides long. RefSeq lists it as uncharacterized. Lineage: Eukaryota; Metazoa; Arthropoda; Insecta; Orthoptera; Acrididae. The transcript is spliced from 2 exons. The record is from RefSeq and is a predicted model, not a curated record.